This 564-nucleotide ribosomal RNA is filed under the name Triticum aestivum (bread wheat). RNAcentral describes it as "partial small subunit ribosomal RNA". The record is from RNAcentral. Lineage: Eukaryota; Viridiplantae; Streptophyta; Magnoliopsida; Poales; Poaceae.
AUGGGAAAAUUUUCAGCUGGAGUAAGGAGGGUGGCUCUGGAGCUGAUGGAAGCCAUACUUGAAGGCCUAGGACUGGGCAAGCAUUACCAGCAUGAAGAAUUUGAGAACGGAUUGCAGCUACUGCAAGUGAACUGCUACCCGAAAGAGCCAGAAGGCGAAUCGGCGAUAGGGCUGGCGCCACAUUCCGACCAUGGAUUUCUUACCAUCUUGCUCGCGAGCUGCCCGGGCCUGGAGGUCCUUGACCGCAGUAGUGACACUUGGAGAGUGGUCCAGCAACCCCGGCACGCGUUGCACGUCCACGUAGGAGACUGCAUGGAGGUUCUGAGCAAUGGCAGGGUCAAGACCGCCGUGCACCGUGCUGUCCUGAACCAUGGCGAGGCGAGGAUCUCCAUGGCGAGCAUCCAUAGUUUUGCGAUGCACGAGAAGGUCUCCGUUGCCAAGGAGCUGGUGGAUGAGCAAGAUCCUGAGAAAUACAAGGAGAGCAGCUUCAGUGACUUCCUGGACUACCUCAUGAGCAAUGCGGACAAGAAGCGCAUGAGCUUUCUUGAGAGCCUUAGGACUUGA